This 406-nucleotide ribosomal RNA is filed under the name uncultured bacterium. Its description in RNAcentral is "partial 16S ribosomal RNA". It matches the Rfam family "Bacterial small subunit ribosomal RNA", at positions 29 to 526 of the family's 1533-position model. The record is from RNAcentral.
AUUGAACGCUGGCGGCAGGCCUAACACAUGCAAGUCGAGCGAGCGGCGGACGGGUGAGUAAUGCCUGGGAAACUGCCUGAUGGAGGGGGGUAACUACUGGAAACGGUAGCUAAUACCGCAUACCAUCAGAUGUGCCCAGAGGGGAUUAGCUAGUAGGUGGGGGAACGGCUCACCUAGGCGACGAUCCCUCGCUGGUCUGAGAGGAUGACCAGCCACACUGUACCUGAGACAGGGGCCAGAGUCCGACGGGAGUCAGCGGUAGGGAGUAUUGCCCAAUGGGCGAAAGCGUGAGGCAGCCUCGCCGCGUGUGUUAAGAAGGCCUUCGGGUUGUAAAGCACGUUCAGCGGGGAUGCGUUACCCGCAGAAGAGGCACCGGCUAACUCCUUGCCAGCCGCCGCGGUAAUAC